AUCGAUAAUCCACGUUANUUUUCACUUUAAUUUAAAACCUAUAUACCGCCAUACUAAAAAUUAAUUUCAAAACAUUUUUUUAAAACCAAAUAAAAUAUUAGGUCAAGGUGUAAUUUAUAUUAAAGAAUAAAUGAGUUACAUUAAAUAAAAUUUAAAGAUUUUUUAUAAAUAUAUAUCUAUAAAUAAGAAUUUAAAAGCAAUAUUUAAAUAAUACUAUAAUAUGAUAUAGAAAAUAAAUGUGCACACAUCGCCC
This 253-nucleotide ribosomal RNA is filed under the name Draconarius pseudocoreanus. RNAcentral's name for it is "partial 12S ribosomal RNA". The record is from RNAcentral. Lineage: Eukaryota; Metazoa; Arthropoda; Arachnida; Araneae; Agelenidae.